GUGGGGAAUCUUGCGCAAUGGGCGAAAGCCUGACGCAGCCAUGCCGCGUGGAUGAUGAAGGUCUUAGGAUUGUAAAAUCCUUUCACCGGUGAAGAUAAUGACUGUAGCCGGAGAAGAAGCCCCGGCUAACUUCGUGCCAGCAGCCGCGGUAAUACGAAGGGGGCUAGCGUUGCUCGGAAUUACUGGGCGUAAAGGGAGCGUAGGCGGACAUUUAAGUCAGGGGUGAAAUCCCGAGGCUCAACCUCGGAACUGCCUUUGAUACUGGGUGUCUUGAGUGUGAGAGAGGUGAGUGGAACUCCGAGUGUAGAGGUGAAAUUCGUAGAUAUUCGGAAGAACACCAGUGGCGAAGGCGACUCACUGGCUCAUUACUGACGCUGAGGCUCGAAAGCGUGGGGAGCAAACAGGAUUAGAUACCCGAGUAGUCC
This 425-nucleotide ribosomal RNA is filed under the name uncultured bacterium. RNAcentral describes it as "partial 16S ribosomal RNA". It matches the Rfam family "Bacterial small subunit ribosomal RNA", at positions 354 to 796 of the family's 1533-position model. The record is from RNAcentral.